RNAcentral lists this ribosomal RNA (293 nucleotides) under uncultured bacterium. RNAcentral describes it as "partial 16S ribosomal RNA". It matches the Rfam family "Bacterial small subunit ribosomal RNA", at positions 29 to 349 of the family's 1533-position model. The record is from RNAcentral.
AACGAACGCUGGCGGCAUGCCUAACACAUGCAAGUCGAACGAGACCUUCGGGUCUAGUGGCGCACGGGUGCGUAACGCGUGGGAAUCUGCCCUUGGGUUCGGAAUAACAGUUAGAAAUGACUGCUAAUACCGGAUAAUGUCUUCGGACCAAAGAUUUAUCGCCCAGGGAUGAGCCCGCGUAGGAUUAGCUAGUUGGUGAGGUAAAGGCUCACCAAGGCGACGAUCCUUAGCUGGUCUGAGAGGAUGAUCAGCCACACUGGGACUGAGACACGGCCCAGACUCCUACGGGAGGC